UGGGGAAUCUUGCGCAAUGGGGGAAACCCUGACGCAGCGACGCCGCGUGCGGGAUGAAGGCCUUCGGGUUGUAAACCGCUUUCAGCAGGGACGAGGCCUUAUGGUGACGGUACCUGCAGAAGAAGCUCCGGCUAAAUACGUGCCAGCAGCCGCGGUAAUACGUAUGGAGCAAGCGUUAUCCGGAUUCAUUGGGCGUAAAGCGCUCGUAGGCGGUCUGUUAGGUCGGCAAGUUAAAUCCGGGGGCUCAACCCCCGUCCGCUUCCGAUACCGGCAGACUUGAGUUUGGGAGGGGAAGGUGGAAUUCCUAGUGUAGCGGUGGAAUGCGCAGAUAUUAGGAAGAACACCGGUGGCGAAGGCGGCCUUCUGGGCCAUAACUGACGCUGAGGAGCGAAAGCUAGGGGAGCGAACAGG
RNAcentral lists this ribosomal RNA (411 nucleotides) under Verrucomicrobiota bacterium. RNAcentral's name for it is "Verrucomicrobia bacterium partial 16S ribosomal RNA". It matches the Rfam family "Bacterial small subunit ribosomal RNA", at positions 355 to 776 of the family's 1533-position model. The record is from RNAcentral. Lineage: Bacteria; Pseudomonadati; Verrucomicrobiota.